Molecule: ribosomal RNA, 469 nt
Filed under: uncultured bacterium
Lineage: Bacteria
Description: bacterial SSU rRNA
Rfam family: Bacterial small subunit ribosomal RNA
Source: RNAcentral
GAGUUUGAUCCUGGCUCAGAGCGAACGCUGGCGGCAGGCCUAACACAUGCAAGUCGAACGGAUCCUUCGGGAUUAGUGGCGGACGGGUGAGUAACACGUGGGAACGUGCCCUUUGGUUCGGGACAACUCAGGGAAACUUGAGCUAAUACCGGAUGUGCCCUUCGGGGGAAAGAUUUAUCGCCAUUGGAGCGGCCCGCGUCUGAUUAGCUUGUUGGUGAGGUAAAGGCUCACCAAGGCUACGAUCAGUAGCUGGUCUGAGAGGAUGAUCAGCCACAUUGGGACUGAGACACGGCCCAAACUCCUACGGGAGGCAGCAGUGGGGAAUCUUGCGUAAUGGGCGAAAGCCUGACGCAGCCAUGCCGCGUGAAUGAUGAAGGUCUUAGGAUUGUAAAAUUCUUUCAGCAGGGACGAUAAUGACGGUACCUGCAGAAGAAGCCCCGGCUAACUUCGUGACAGCAGCCGCCGUAAC